Molecule: long non-coding RNA, 13985 nt
Organism: Aethalodelphis obliquidens (Pacific white-sided dolphin)
Lineage: Eukaryota; Metazoa; Chordata; Mammalia; Artiodactyla; Delphinidae
Exons: 4
Source: RefSeq, a predicted model, not a curated record
GAACCCGCGUCCCCUGCAUCGGCAGGCGGACUCUCAACCACGGUGCCACCAGGGAAGCCCAGAAAUGGCCAAUUUUUAUUAAAAUGUUUCUGGAAGAAAAUUUAAUCUGGCAAUAUAGACUAAUACUCGUUUUGCAUAGUAUAUUACUGUUGAGUGCUCUUAGGGAGAUGGGUGAAGGUUUUGUUUACACAUUUGUGAAGCAAGCCUUUGCAUGAUAACUUGUCAUUAAUCGAAGGGCAAUGAGCUUGUCAAGUUUAACUUAUUUGUUUUCUUAACAGUAUUCAUCUUUAGGACUAUUGUUUGAGGAUAGAAUAUUAGUAGGAAUAGGAAUGUUUGUUUUGCUGUUACUGGGAAACUCUAGGUUUGCUGAAGGGUGUAGCCUUAAACUAAAAUGAAGUUUGAUGUUAUCAGUUGACCCUCAGUACCUCAAAUAUUUGAAAAUUGGCAACAUUUCUUUCACAUAAAGAAACUUUUAUAACUGAGUCACAUGGCUGUGUUUUGGGUCAGUUUAAAUAACUAAUUGGUAACCACUUCAUUUGGCCCAGGCCAGUGAUAAUUGGAAGAAAUUCAGCUUGUACUUUCGUAGCUUAUAUUAAGCUUGUGGUAGAAAGAAGAAAAUUUAGCCUGAGUUAUUUUUGAGAAAAAAAUUGAGUUGCAGUAAGUGUUUGGUGAUAAAUUAUAGAUAACCUAGAAACCAUUUUUCAUAAGUGAAUACUAAACCGUACAUUUCAAAAAGUUCUUCCUCCUUAGAACAGAGCUUUAAGGGCACUAACUAGGUGCAGUGUUUCUCAACUUGGGGCUGUUACUAUAUCCUAGAGGACAUGCAGAAAUGUGUGGGAUUUUUGGUGGGUUGGGGGUAGAGGGAGAUGCGUACCCUGCAUCUAGGGUUUGCUGGGUGGGGGCCAGUGGUGCCAAGUGCCCUUUGAAAAUGAAGCAACCCCAUUGAGAACACAGGUAGUCCCUACUCCUAUAAUUCAUGGUGGGUGGAAUGGUGGACUAGGGCAACUGCAGUGAAAGUUGUCCUUCCUCUGAAAUAGAGCCUCAGAAAAAUAAACAAAUUAGCAAGUAAAUCUCUCUCAGGAAUUAUAGUAACAACUACUGUAAGUAAUAAUCUCAGCUUUCCUUUAUCUGUACCAAUUGUGUGUUUUAUUUUUAAUUUGGAGAGGUAGUAGCAAUGUACUAGAUGCUGCUUGUAAUUUAUUGCAGGGGAUUACUGCAUAAUUUCAGAAAAGAAAAGAUUGCUUCAAUAAUUUCAAGUUAUCAUAAUUGGGAUAUUAUGGUGUUUUGAUUAGCAUUGGACUUUAUAAAUAGGAUUUAGUGUCAUGGUUAACACUAUUAAGUAUCCAGCUAUCAUCGAUUACAUUAUUGCUGAUGGAAUAGACAUGUCACCCUAGAUACACAUAUAUUCACAUAUUUCACAGUUAAAGAGUGAAAAUAAAAUAGAUUAGGGCAAGAUUUUCUUGUAGACAGCAUCAACUCAUCACAUUCAACAUAAUUUUUCAUCUGUAGGAAUGGCCCAACAUGCAGUUCUUUACUGAGUUUAAUUCACCCAUGAAUAUUUUAGCUAGGUAAGACUAGUUUGGUUCAGUGGGUCUCUUUUAAGAUCUGUUGAAAAUAAAUAGAUCUUGGUUGUACAAAAAUAAUUUUGUUUGCUUUUAUGCUGAGGUUGGGCUUUACUUGUGUCUCCUGUGUUCUCAACUUUUUGAGCUGUUGCUGUGGAGCGGUGAAAUGGAUAAUGCAAAAAUACUUAUUUGGCUUUGGAUGAGUAGGUUACUACCACAGUGUUAGUUGAAUUGCACUUUAGUUUUAGGUUAGACAACUAAAUUUUCACAACUAUAACCCUGUGGGUUAGGUGCGAUUUCUCCCAAAGUAAUAGAUGAAGAAAUGACAUCAGAGGCCUCAAAGUCAUCCAUGUAGCUUAGGAGCAGAUUGGCUUCCAAAACUCUUGCUUUUUCUCUAAAACCAUAAUGCCUACCUAUUUAUAUUUGAAUGACAUUAGGGGCAUAGGGCAUGAAAUAACUACAGUAUAGAGACUUGAGUCUGCAAACAUUCGGAUCAAGGUUAGCAUUACUGUUCUCCAUUUCCUUUAGGGUAAAGUAGAUGCAUAAACAUUGAUUUUGUAGGGCUUUGCAGACUGUAUGGUAACACAGUAAUAUUGAGUUACAAGAUUAUUUUCUCAUCUGGUUUGAUAAUACAUUUGAUACAAUUUAAUCUAGAUAUGGAAGUAAUAUUUUUAUCAGCAUCAUACAGAUGAGUUUAUAACAGUUGUGUUUUGCUUAUAACUGCCAUCCUCUGAUGCUUUUCUUCAUCCCUUUUAUAUUUGAAAACCUUUGUAGAGUUGAAUGAUUUAGUGGAAAACGUGGCACUUUAUAGAAAACAAUUUGUUCGAAUCCAUAUGAAAAUUUCUUUCUAUGAGGUUUAAAUUUGUAGACCAUUGUUCAUGUUGUGGCUUAUUUUAAGUAAAUGAUUGCAUUUGUCAAAUCUACUGAUCUAAAAAUAUCUUUUAUAUUAAAGUUUUAUUUUUGUGCUACUUGAAAGAAUCUGUGCAGGAACUGCAUACAAAUUAGAUAAUUGUUGAAGUUUCAGUUUAGCAAUUUUGAACCUUGUAAAAGAAGCAAGUUCAGCAUUUAUUUGAAAUUGGGGUUCUAGCUAACUGCCUAAUAUAAUAUACCACAGAUGGGCAGUGGACAGUUAGAGGUACUUUCGCAAAUGUUUUAGAAACCUUAAAGAGUGUGUUAGCAACUUAGCAAUGUCUUAUGUGGGAUGGGGUUGUAGGUUAAAGUUGCUCAUCAAGUAAUGGCCAUAUUGUAGUAGAUAAUUAAACAAGGAUUUGUGGUUUUAAGGUAGUAAUACCUUUUAGAAUUUGUUUACUUUAAUAUCGAGGUUCUGGGGACCAUAGAUAGGCUUGUGAACUCUUGCUAGACUGAAUUAAAGAAGAAAUGGUGGCACGUGUGAGAUAAAACUUUUAUUUUCAUUCUUUUUAGUAGGUAUGUAUCUAACUUAGGAUGAUGCUGAAAUUAGACUGCUUUGCUCAUGCUCUCAUGAAGCAGUCUUUCAUAAUGGCCUGAGUUGAGUGAGAAGUUGAUUAAAGGUGGCCUACAGCCCUUAACCAGUUUUGCUUAUGAUUAUGCUUAUGUAUUGGCUUAGAAUCAAAGUUGUUUUCCUUUUUUUUUUAAAUUUAUUUUUGGCUGUGUUGGGUCUUUCUUGCUGCGGACGGGCUUUCUCUAGUUGCGGCGAGCAGGGGCUGCUCUUCGUUGCGGUGCGCGGACUUCUCAUUGCGGUGGCUUCUCUUGUUGCGGAGCACAGGCUCUAUGCAUGCGGGCUUCAGUAGUUCCGGUGCACGGGAUUCAGCAGUUGUGCCUCGCGGGCUCAAGAGCGCAGGCUCAGUAGUUGUGGCUCACGGGCUUAGUUGCUCCGCGACAUGUGGGAUCUUCCUGGACCAGGGCUCGAACCCCUGUCCCCUGCAUUGGCAGGCAGAUUCUUAACCACUGCGCCACCAGGGAAGCCUCUGUCUUUGAUUGCAUGACUUUUGAAGUCGAUCUCUCUUCCAGUUUCCACUUGAACCUGGUAGCUUUUUCUAGUUCCCAGUGAGAGGAAAAUAAAAUAGUAUUAGAAAUCAUUUCUCCUCUUACUUCCAUAAACCAUGUGACCUGAAUAGUUACAGAAAUCCAUAUGUGUUUAUUACUUCGAAAUAUGUCCAGUGUCACAGAUUCCUAAGGGACUCGUAUCCAAUGUGUUUUUGUUUUUUAAAAAAGUAAGCAAUGCUUACCAAAAAUUCACUGUUGAAUUACUUUAGCAGGUAUUUAUUUUUCGGAAACCCAUUUAUGGGAAGUUUGCCUGUAUUAUUGGUUGUAGUUAGAGGGAUGGUUGUAUCAUUUAAUAUGUAUAUAAACAGUUUUAACUACUGCUAUAUUAACCACUUUGGUUACUGAUAAUCUCCCUAAGCUUUGUUGUCACCUGUUUGACUUUGGGUUUGGUUUAAAUUCUUAAAUGUUUUUAUGAGGAGCGUAUAUACCCUGAUUUGGGCCUUUUAAAUGAAGACAUAAGGAUGUAGGAAAGAAGAAGGGACUUCGUUUCUUUAAAGAUUCACUGUACACUCUAGAUUAUGCAGAACACAUGAUGUUAAAAAUAAAUUCGUAUAGGUAGAUGUUGGUUUUGAAGAAGAGUGGGGUGGGCAUGGAACUUAGCUGAUGGGAUAGGAAUCAUUUACGGUUUAUAUAAAAGAAAAAAAUCAUAAUUUUAAGUGAGAAACAUCAGAAUAGUUCCAUAAAGUUUUUCUUCCCAUACUGAUGGUUACCACAAGAAACAGGAGACUCCUGUAAUUCUUAGAAUAUUAGUGCUGGAAAGGACUAAGGUGAUUUGUAUAACCCCUUAAGUUUUCAAAAGAUAGAUGGCCCAGAUUACUAGUACAGAGUUUCAAGUCAGCUUAAAGCACAUUCGGGAAUUGCCAGUCCUGCCCUAUGUUCGCUCUGUAAGCCAGAGCUGUUAAAGGGUAGCAUGUGGGGAGAAAAGGGAAGGAGCCACAUUUUAUAUGCUUACUCCGUUGCUUCAUUAGCUCCAUUUUCAUACCCAAGUUUUCUGUUUUCUUAGAACUGUUUUAAUGCCCAAUUCUACCAGGGCCUGUUGUCAGUAAGGACAUUAACUGUGUUCCCCUCAGGGAUGGGUUUACUACUAGCUGUCAGAAAGCUAUUGGGUAUCCUAAUGUGUUAAUAGCUGAAACUCAGCUGUAAUUUUCUCCUAAAUCCUUCAGCAUUUUGCAUUCUGUACAUUGUGGUGCUUUUUCCACCUUGUAUUGUUAUAACUGUAAGCUCCUAAGGGGCAGCAAUUUGGUCUUAGGCAUGUACCCUGUUCAGUGCCUGGCAGCACCGUGUUUGAAUCAGGGUCCUAAUCUUCCUUUCCACUGAUUUUCCCUGUACUUCGUGAAAGGAUGCUCCAGCCAUGCUGAACUACUUAACGGUUCCUCUAACAAGCCAGGUAUGGCUGAUUCCGUGGCUUCAAGUGCCUUCACUUCCCUGAAGAUAGACUUGCAUCUGCAUUCUCCUCACCACCCCCAUCUCUCCCAAAUCUCUUACCAUCAAAGCCAUUUUUUUCAAGGCCUAGUUUGAGCUUUUUUUUUUUUCUCCCCUAAGAGAAAAGAUGUCUUACGAGAGGGUAGCCCCCUUUUAGGAGUUGAUUUGUGCAGAAUUUGAAGUGAGGAACAAAUUUAUUCUCAUCUACUUUCCUUACACAUUGUCCCUCCUGUUUGAAAUUCUGUCCCAACCUUCACUUUAAAAUGUGCUCCUAGAAUACUUUAUACCUUUCUCUUAGCUAAUAACUUACCCCUUCAACCUAGAAUUAGAACAGACCUACCUUAUGAGACCAUAAUCUCCUGGAGGACAAGGACUUGAGGAUUAAUCUCUUUAUUCCUCCUUCCUCCUGGAGGUACAUGAAAGCAUCCGUAAAUGAUGAUUCACUCAAUUAAUAAAUUAAUGUAUUUCUGUUUUCUUUCUCACAAGGGAGGCAUGCCUAGAGACCAGACUUAAUUCAGUAAAUUAUAGGCCCUGUGCAUUUCAUAGUGGAGGGGAUUGUUGGGAAAUUUUGAGGGGUGGGCAGAGGAGGGAGGAAGUCACUGGUCAUUUUGAAGUACUUCCAUCCCCGGUCUGGGCCCUUAGCUAUUUCUUUCUGAUUGUGCGCAGUAUAUCCUGGGCACUUUGUGUCUAUGCACAAGAAUUGUAUGCGCCAAAUUUCAAUUCCCAAACCUACUCUGUUCUCAGUUUGUCAUCACCCAUGCCAUAAGUCUAAGUCACCUUAGACUUACGUCUUAGUCACCUUAGACUCAGUCUUAGUCAUCUGCUUCUUGUUUCCUUACUUACUCCAGUGUCCAGCUAAGUCCUGUCAGUUCUACCUCAGCAGUCUUUCACAUCUUCCUCCUCACUUAGAUAAUUUCAGUGGCCUCUCAGCUUCCUUGACCUCUUCUUAUUCCCAGCCUACUUUCUACAUGAUAUUAGAUACAUCUUACUGAAACCUAGCUCUGACCAUGUAUCCCAUGUAUGUGUUCUAUCCUCCCUACUAGACUGUAAGCUCCUUAUGGGCAGGAUCUGUGUCUGAGUCAUCUUUGUAUCUCCCAUAGCACCUAUCAAUAAAUAUAUCUUGAAUGAACAGCGUAAAGCCUUGUCUUAAGUGAAAUGAUGUUUUCCAGAUGAUAUGUAGGUUCCUCUCGGGUAAUGGGGAGAUUUCAAAAGUUCUCCUAAUAUAAAGUCGGUUAACUAGUAACAACUGUGAGUUAACCACAGGGAAAAUUUCAGAAAAACUUUAAUUUUUUUUCCAUUGGAAUCAGCAUGGAUAUGUGUAUAUGGAUGGUUCAAUAAAUAUAUUUUUAUAUACAUGUAUCACAGAAAUUUUACAUUCCAUCUUCAAACUGCAGAAAUAGAUUUUUUUUAACAAGCCAAAAAAUAACUGCCAUAACAUUUAUGACUUCAUGCAAAAAAUGGGGAAGAAUCAGGGACAAAGGGGAAUUAAUUGGUUGUUCAAGGUGAAGAGUCCAGUGAGAAGUAGAAAGGUACAGUAGGAAGCGAUUGCUUAACAUGCUGCUUAAGGUGGUAGCCAAACAAAUCCUUAACUGCAGCAUUAAGGCCAUACCAAGUGUAUACACAUAUACAAAGAAAUUUCCAUAGAAAAGGCAUACUGUCACAUUUUCUUCCAGGAGAGGAUGAGGAGCUUUGUGACUAAUCCUCACCCAAAUUUCCAGGCCAGUUAAUUGUUUAAGAUGUCCCCAGGUUACUUAGAAAUGUCUUCUACUUUGGCCAACUGUCAGUUACUGCUCUGUGGGCUCGUGACUUUCGUAGUCUCUUACAGGGAAGUAUGAAUCAUCUUGAACCUCUUCCAUCAUGGGUGAUCAAGCACUUCGUAGCUUAACUAACACUGCCCAGCCCAGCAUAGUUUUUACAUCUCGCCAAAGUAUUGUAAUUUGCAUUUGUCUUAGCUGUAACAGACUGUGUAGCCAAUGAUGGCAUUGUGACCUGAAGAACUAAACAGUGCCUUUUUGUUCUUUGGGGUUAAGGUAACUUUUUGAAUAGUUAAAGUGUAAUGAACCAAAGUGUGAGGUUUCAGGUAACGACCCCUGGAGUUGUUGAAAGUUAAUAAUCAACUUCUGUCCCCACUGUGUCAUACAUUUAAGUUGGCAGCUACCUUUUUGGAAAAAAGGAAAUGUAAAAUCACUUGCAGAAAUAUCGUAACAUGGGAUUUGCUCUUCUGCCUAAACAUCAAGUCAGGCAACUUUUAAGACAAAGGGCAUAUUUUUUGUGCAAAUACCAAAUGGGUAAAAUAGGGAAAACAUGGGCAGAUGUUUGGAGAUGACUUCCAGUUAUGCAGAAGUCAUUUGCUUUGGCAAGGUUGGGGGGCAACUCUUGAGACUGGCCCAUUUUAGUGGAUGAAUUGUCCAAAAACAAAAAAAAAUUAAAUCUAAGAUAAAUUAUGUAAGUAAAAUACAGUGACUGACUUUGAGCCUUUAUUUGAUGAUGUUACCACUCAUUUUGGAGUGUUUUAGAUCAGUCUAACGCUGCUUUUUCAUUAGUGUUGUCUUAGCUGUGAAUUGGAUAUCAAGUAGUCAUGUUCGUCCCCAAUUCUUUAUGGGCCAGUUUCCAAGUAGGGCCCAGGGUAUUCACAACAACUGUGGCUGCAAGGUAAUUCGUCUCCUCCCGUGGGUUCCCUGGGUCAGUCAAGUUUGAGAAUGAGGUCUCUGGAAAUGGCUUGUUCUGGGAGAGGACCAAAUAAUGUGUGACUUGGGAGCACUUUAGUAUGUUUUGAACACUUAGAAAGUGAGCAGUCAGUAUCCUUUCCAACUGCGUUUCACCCAAACUGACACUAGUUAUUUACAUUGCAGUAAUUUGCAUGGGUUCUAGAUACAGCACUUUUGGACUGAUCCAGACAAUGAGACAUGUGGAUCCCCUUUGGCAACCUUGCUGAGAGGCUUAAAAGCGUUAAGAGUUUUGUCUUGGUCACUUUGUAGUUCAUGUUGUACACCUCAAGUCUAAUUACAGCAGGGAAGAUGUAUAUUGUGUCGUUUUUCAAACUUAUUUGGAGGCUGCUGAGGUCCUUGGUAUGUUUGUCUUGAAAGUAGAACUCGGCUAUUUAACUUGCUUUAAAAAAAAUUUUUUUUUUUUUGAGAAAGUUGUACUUUUGUUUAAUAUGUGCAAGAAUCACAUUGGGUAGGUAUUUAAUCUGUGUCCAGUAUACUAAGUAGCAAGACACACCCCUUUGGGAUUUAAUUCACUCAUCUCAUUUUAACUGUUGUUUAUGCUGAAAAUAUCAUAAUGGAUCACGUAUUGGAAGGUUGAACCAUUAAAAUGUGAAAUAGUCUGAAUUUUAAAUACUCUGAAAUGCAUUGUGGGAAUGUCCAAUUUUUUUGUCUCUUGCAUACUAUUCUGGCUAAAUGGCAUGUUGAGCGUAGUACACCUUUAAAUGUGGUAGAAAUAUAUAUCUAACAUGGAAAAAACAGUUUAGCAAAUUGAUUAUUUGAUAUAUAAGCACUCUAAAAAAGAUGUGGGGCAGUCUUUCAUCUAUUACUAGGAUAGGUAAUACUAACCUUCUCUUUCCCAAAAAUAUUCUUUCUAAAGAAAGGCAAAUCAUUCUGAAAGAAAUUAUUCUUUUUACAUACUUCCACAAGCAGUGACUUAUUAAAAACCAGUUACGUUUUGUCUGUUUUUUUUUUUCUAUUCAUAUUUGACAUUUUCACGCUCCGUACCCUUUUUACUUUAUAGUCAUGAUUUCGUCCUUUGAAUAGAUGCUCUUUGGGUUGGGAGAAUCAUUUUAGUUACAGCUGAAAAUAAAAAGGACAUGCUAGAUUAUUCUUUUCUUCUAGGUCAUCUCUGUUUAAUAUUUCAGAUCAACAAAAUGUAAUAGUACUAGGAUCACAAUCUCUUCAUUGCAAAUAGCUACAUUGUACUAAGAAUUGCCUUGGUUUGAGAUUUGACAAAAGAAGAAACUCUAGAAGUAACUUUUUUCAGAAUCACUGUAGAAUAGUGAGCUGAAUGUAGAACCAUGACUCUACUGUACCUUUAUUGUCCCCUUUCUAGUGCCUACCUACCACAAACUAAAUGCAUAAUACUUGGCUUGAAUUGAUGAUGUCCUAGAAGAUGUGAAUUUCUAGUGGGUAUUAACUAUAUCUGCUGCUGAGAUGAAGGGAAAGGCAAGUUCCCUGCAACAAAGUACAGAGCCUGGAUAGGAGUCAAGAGCUGUUAGAAGGCCCUCCUUUAUUGGAACAUUGGUCAGGCUGCCACUUGUAAUACUCUUGUUUCUGUGGUACCUCAUAUAAACAGUUGCUCCGUCUUUACCUCCGCAGCUGCUUGGGGGAAGUGGUUACCUUGUGUUUAACACUUUCAAAGGGCCAGAUGAAGGGAGAGUGAAGAUCAUUUGUCAUAAUGUCACCCUAUAAAUAUUUUGAAGAGAUUCUAUUGCUAUAAACCAUAAACACAUCCCUGUUGGGAAAGACAGGAGCAGUGUUUUCUGAUUAUAAGGAGUGUUUGUUGGAGCUACAGGCGUGUGGAAGCAAUUUCAGGAACAUCGCUGUGAGGAGUCUCUGGCAGAGAGAAUUCAGACAACUGCCAUAGGAAAUGGGGUACAGUCUUCACAGGACAUAUAUGCUAAAAUACAGAGUGGAAUAUUGUCCUGAUGUUGGAUGGGAUUCUCAGGUGAGAAGCUAGUUUAUCAGUACUGUGAAAUAACUAGACUUUCACUGCCGGAAAAGUAAGAUUGUAAUCUCCUUGAGGACCAAGACCCUCUUCUUUCUUAAUUUCUUCCUACCUGCCUUCUGGGCAGGCCUGGGAUGGGGUUCCAAGCCUGACACUGAAAUGCGGAAACAGUGAAACCUUUUACAACACACAGUAUGCUCUUUUCUUCAACCCAUCAAAGUAUCCAGAAUUUGGCUGUGAUAAAUCUCCUUCAACUCCCUCUUUUUACAGGGGGGUGAUUGGGCCAAGGAAGGUGGAGUAGCUUACCCAUGUUUCCAUGAUGAGCCUGAGGUAGCGCCAGAACGAGGACCCACUUCCCAUUGACCUCUGUCUACUUCAGGAGGCAGGUGUGUUUAAAUAGAACACUGGGUUUUGAAGUUGCAUAAGAAAACAGUUGAAUCUGAAGAAAGGCAGCCCUAAAACAAGGCAAUGCGGGGAAUUGGGAAGCAGGGCAAUUGUGGGAAUGGAAGACCCAAUCUUGCUUGGAAUCUGUAUGUCGCCAGCGAAUGUCUUUCAUCCCCAUUAUUAGUUAGUUGGUUAAUUAGCUGGUGUUGGUCUACAGCUGGUUAAUGGCCUGACAUAGAAUAUAAUUUUCAUCACUGGGCUCUCUGAAGGGUAUAUUUUUGGCUUGCCAUUCUCUGUGGUUUGACUUUUCGACCCAGUGUUCCAGUGGAAAUUUUCCAGAACAUUGAAAUUUCAAAAUGCAAGAGGAAGAAUAGAAAUCACAGCCUUAAAACAAAUGAGACAGGAGCUACUAGUCCAUUCUAGUCCCCAUCCUAGCAUCCCAUUCUCCACCCCCUCAGAAAUACAUCAGCAUAUCUGGCAGAGCUGGGUUUCACAAAACAAGAUGCACAGCUUGAUGAAACAGGGAUGCUGACGGAGGCAGUGAGAGGAGGCAUUGGUGGGGUGGAGAGCGAAGAGGGAGAAGGAGUGGUCUGGACGCUAGCUGAAGAAGCCUUAAUGAUCCUAAAAAUUAUUGGGCAAUAAUUGCUACCUUGGAACUCACUUUGCUGUUCCAAAGAAUGAUAAAGCACCUUAAUUAUUGCUUUAAAUAACCACACAGCUCCAUCAAAACAGCAUGAAAUAGCACCCACGUAUGAGCAAACUUAUCUACUGCCAUUGCUGUUUACAGCCUGAGAAAUCCUUAAGGAAACAACAGGAUAAUAACUUGGUGGAGUCAUCAUCUAGUCUGGGCCCUCAAGAUUCUAGGUUACUCAGGCCUGGGAGAGGUGCUGGCACGUUGCCCUCGUUCUCCUUGACAUUCUGAGAUCUUUAACUGGGACAGUGAGAAAGAAGUCAUUGCUUUCAUUCUCUUAACCAUUGGGCUGGGGUGGGGAGGGCAGUGUUUAGGGAUUUUUUUAAAAGUUCCUCAUUACGACAGGAAUUUCAGCCUAUCCACGGAGGUUCUUCCUAUCCAUUGGGAUUUCAGGAUACUCUGAGACCAAAGCCUUUGCAACAUAUGCUUUGCCUCACGGUGCUACAAGUAGUUAAGAGCAGCCCAGCUCAAUCAAAACACAGCGUGUCUUUUACUCCUUCCUUGGUCAGGAUAAGCUCCUGUUUCUGGCUUCCUAGAGCUGCAGGAAAAUAGGAGGGUUCUUCAUUUAAAUUUCAGGAGUUGGUUUCUGAGAGAAGGGACUUAGUGGAAGAAAAAACAGCUAAAUUAUAUUUUAGCUUUUCCCUGCUAGAGAAUUUUUGGUCUGUUCCCUGUUUGGUCUGUUUCUCAGCAGACCUUACCAGCCCCUCAGAGUGCAAACCUUUUGGUCAACCUGAGAACCAUAGCUCACAGAGGAAACCUCAUCUUGCCUGCCUCUUCAGAGUUAGGGUAGAGGGCAGCCUUCUGAAUGUGCAGAAGGUGCUCGUUGAAUAAAUCUGAUAGCUUCCAGAGUGGUAUUCAUCGUCCCUGGGCUGGGCUUCCAGCCAGACUAGGGAAUAUCUGCACAUCCAGAUCUCCACCCCAGUCCUAAAGCUGAUGCAGAUUGUACCUGCUGCUUGCCAGCUUCUUCUCCUAAGGAGGCACUUACUGCAGACAUGAUAACUUCCUUCAAUUUUGGUGUGUUGCAAUUAACUAAGAAAUCUAAUUUUCACAAGACUGUUAUCAGCGAUGGUACCAGCUUAGCUGGGGCACCAAUCUACUCUGCAAUCAAUAUCGAGCCUCACAAAACACCAUCUCAUCUCUUUUUAAUGACGUUCAUAAAAGCACAUACUUUCAAAGAAAGGAACCAUCUCCCAUCAUAUGUAUUUUCUCCCCAGUAUGAAAAAAGUAGCCUAUGAAAAAUAUUGGUGAACUUCUUAGAGGGGUACAUUUCUUAUUUAUUGACAGCUUAGAAGAAGAAAUAAUUCGGAUCAAAUGACCUUUUGUCUUUGUAGACAAACUAAAAAUAGAGUUAAGUUCAAGGUAUCUCUCUCACAUAUACACACACACAUUUUUUGUUCUCUUCAUGCCUGUCCUUAGUCACUCCCUGUAGCGUUAGUCAAGAAUGGACUCUUGAAUAUUUGAAAGGACCAGAGGAUGGCAGAGCUGAGCCAUUUAUUUUGCUGCUCUUGAAAAAUGAGACAUGUUGUAAACUAAUAGAUAAGAAGUUAUUGGUAUUAUUAUCUGCUUAAUCACUUUCUCCUAAAUUUGGCUCCUAGGAGUUUGGGAGGUGGGUGAAAUCACCCAUUCGUCUCUGCCAGUAUCCAGUUCUUCCUUCAUGCAGAAAUAAAUACUGGUCUAUAUACAUAAGGGUUUGAAAACCAGUAAACCACUCAUUAUACCUAAAUUAGUUUUCUCUGUACUGUAGCCCUUGGCAUCUGUAGUCCCAAGGCAUGAUGUCCUCUGUGCACAAACUGAAGAGGAAAUUAAGGAAGUAUUGCCCUUUUUGUUAAAGCCAACUAAAAAGAUAUUGGGCUUAAAUUACCUAGUUUGAUUUUCUGUAAUGAUGAAAUCCAUGUAACUAGUUGCUAAAUCCUUACUACAGUACACAUUAAUGAUAACGUGUUCUCCUUGAGCAUAUGCUCCAUUCCUCAUUCCUGAUGGGAUUUUUGGCAUUAUAAUGAUUGGUGUUCUUUCCCCACAUUUGUUCACCUUUGAUAAAGUGGAGCGAAAGGAAAAACAAAUCUGCAAAUUGUCCAAAGAAAGGCAACAAGAAUUGUGUGUGUCCAUAUACGUGUGCAUAUGUAUAUUCAUAGCCACCGGAGAGUUCAGAAAUCAAAGUGACCUUAAACUUCCUGUUGUGUGAACUUCCUAUAGACCAGUUCAAGCACAUAGAGCAGUCGGUGCCAGGAGGGAGGUGGAAAUCACCUGUACCACUCUCCCCAUUAUGUAUUUAGAGAAACCAGAGCUUAGUGGUUUACCCGAGGUCACCCAGCAUAUUGGUGGCAGGACUAAAAUUCACAUUCUUCUUUUCACUGCUGUCAUGCAUCCGCUCACAUUUACUUUCUAUGAGAGAUGCUGUGUUUGGAAUAGUCUGAGAGAAGAUCCCCUCUGUGUCUCAGAGAGAUGAUUCUGUUGUCUGUUGGGUACUAUCAGCUAGACCUGGCAGUGCCCAGUGGGCACAGAGGUUGAUUAUUGUGGCAGAAGUUCAAGGAUCCAGCACAGGUUGGGCAAAUGGCCCAGUGAUUUCUCUGUCUUGAGGAGAUUCCAGACACCUCAUACAAGGAGUACGGUGUGAUUUUGCAGUUUGAAUGGAGGAAAAAUGUCUUAGAACAAUUGGUACUGUCUUUAGUUCCUGAUAGUGGCCUAGCGCAUUUGUUGCCUGAUCACCUAGACUUCAGACAUUCUGAAUUUAGUCUAAUAGUGAGUAAAGUAGAGCGAAUGGGUUCUUUAAUUUUUUUAAAUUAAAAAAUGAUUUGCCCCCUAAAUUGAAAAAAGUGCUAGUGAAAGGGGAUGUUAGCCUUUCCAGAGACCCAUGCACCACUUGAGAAUUGAGGGUUUUUUCCCCUCUCCCUUAAAUAAAGUGAAUAUAGUGCUCAUGAAAGGUGCUAAUAGCAGUUCAAAGGCUGAUAUUUUAGUCUUGAACUGGUAGUAUUUGUUCAAGUCCCUCUAUUUAACUUUUCCUCCUUCAGACACAUGUUAGUGGUGGGGAAAAGGAUGGUCUUACAUGAGAGACUCCUACUCACUUGGCUCCCAUUCCUCAAUGCUUCUUAGAAAAAAGGAUUCCGGGUUCCCUCCCACAUCCUCCGGCUAGAAUACAGUUUGGUUUUCUGGUCUACACAGGCCAAGAGAAGGGAAGGCAAUGAUUGGUUAACCUUGGAACUUGGAUGUAAACAGCUUUUUCAUUAAAGCCACAAAGCCAAAUC